GACGAACGCUGGCGGCGUGCCUAAUACAUGCAAGUUGAGCGAUGAAGAUUGGUGCUUGCCCCAAUUUGAAGAGCAGCGAACGGGUGAGUAACGCGUGGGGAAUCUGCCUUUGAGCGGGGGACAACAUUUGGAAACGAAUGCUAAUACCGCAUAACAACUUUAAACAUAAGUUUUAAGUUUGAAAGAUGCAAUUGCAUCACUCAAAGAUGAUCCCGCGUUGUAUUAGCUAGUUGGUGAGGUAAAGGCUCACCAAGGCGAUGAUACAUAGCCGACCUGAGAGGGUGGUCGGCCACAUUGGGACUGAGACACGGCCCAAACUCCUACAGGAGGCAGCAGUAGGGAAUCUUCGGCAAUGGACGAAAGGCUGACCGAGCAACGCCGCGGGAGGGAAGAAGGUUUUCGGAUCGGAAAACUCUGUUGGUAGAGAAGAACGUUGGUGAGAGUGGAAAGCUCAUCAAGUGACGGUAACUACCCAGAAAGGGACGGCUAACUACGUG
Molecule: ribosomal RNA, 497 nt
Filed under: uncultured bacterium
Lineage: Bacteria
Description: partial 16S ribosomal RNA
Rfam family: Bacterial small subunit ribosomal RNA
Source: RNAcentral